This 428-nucleotide ribosomal RNA is filed under the name Salmonella enterica subsp. enterica serovar Weltevreden. RNAcentral's name for it is "partial 23S ribosomal RNA". It matches the Rfam family "Bacterial large subunit ribosomal RNA", at positions 105 to 573 of the family's 2925-position model. The record is from RNAcentral. Lineage: Bacteria; Pseudomonadati; Pseudomonadota; Gammaproteobacteria; Enterobacterales; Enterobacteriaceae.
CGGCGAUACCCGAAUGGGGAAACCCAGUGUGACUCGUCACACUAUCAUUAACUGAAUCCAUAGGUUAAUGAGGCGAACCGGGGGAACUGAAACAUCUAAGUACCCCGAGGAAAAGAAAUCAACCGAGAUUCCCCCAGUAGCGGCGAGCGAACGGGGAGGAGCCCAGAGCCUGAAUCAGCAUGUGUGUUAGUGGAAGCGUCUGGAAAGGCGCGCGAUACAGGGUGACAGCCCCGUACACAAAAGCGCAUGUGCUGUGAGCUCGAUGAGUAGGGCGGGACACGUGGUAUCCUGUCUGAAUAUGGGGGGACCAUCCUCCAAGGCUAAAUACUCCUGACUGACCGAUAGUGAACCAGUACCGUGAGGGAAAGGCGAAAAGAACCCCGGCGAGGGGAGUGAAAAAGAACCUGAAACCGUGUACGUACAAGCAG